AAUAUUGGUCAAUGGGCGCAAGCCUGAACCAGCCAUGCCGCGUGCAGGAUGAAGCAUCUAUGGUGUGUAAACUGCUUUUGUACGGGAAGAAACAGCUCUUCGUGAAGAGCCUUGACGGUACCGUAAGAAUAAGGAUCGGCUAACUCCGUGCCAGCAGCCGCGGUAAUACGGAGGAUCCAAGCGUUAUCCGGAAUCAUUGGGUUUAAAGGGUCCGUAGGCGGUUUUAUAAGUCAGUGGUGAAAUCCGGCAGCUCAACUGUCGAACUGCCAUUGAUACUGUAGGACUUGAAUUAUUAUGAAGUAACUAGAAUAUGUAGUGUAGCGGUGAAAUGCUUAGAUAUUACAUGGAAUACCAAUUGCGAAGGCAGGUUACUAAUAAUGGAUUGACGCUGAUGGACGAAAGCGUGGGGAGC
Molecule: ribosomal RNA, 412 nt
Filed under: uncultured bacterium
Lineage: Bacteria
Description: bacterial SSU rRNA
Rfam family: Bacterial small subunit ribosomal RNA
Source: RNAcentral